Molecule: transfer RNA, 90 nt
Filed under: bacterium
Lineage: Bacteria
Description: tRNA-Ser
Rfam family: tRNA
About the family: Transfer RNA (tRNA) molecules are approximately 80 nucleotides in length. Their secondary structure includes four short double-helical elements and three loops (D, anti-codon, and T loops).
Source: RNAcentral
GGAGGGGUGUCCGAGCGGUUUAAGGUGACGGUCUUGAAAACCGUUCUCGGUGCAAGCCGAGCGUGGGUUCGAAUCCCACCCCCUCCGCCA